GAGAAGCUGCGCCGCCGCCCUCGGCCGUCCGGGCCCCGGGGCCGGGGCGUGCGCGCGGGGGGCGCGCGGAGAGGCACGAGGCGGGGACGAAGGACGGGUGGUCUUGCUGCAGAGUUGCCGCUGGAGGACCGAAAGUUUUUGCCUGCAGCCCUUCCACCGUGUCCCUCCAUCCCCGGGUCCCCGGCACCCAGGGCGAGGCGCCCCAGCGGGGAUCCCGGAGGCUUCGUGGGGAGGAGACGAGCAGGUCGCACAUCCGCUCCAAAGCCAGGGAGGGGACCCUGGUGACUUUGCCUCCCGGCCCCCACUCCCUUCGCCCUUUUUUCUCUUUCCUGGUGGACCUUGGACCGUGGAGAUUGUGCGGACGCCUCUGAGAGCCGAAGCCGAUGGGUGGAUGGAAGCGGUUCUAAAAAGCAGAUAAUGAAUGCCUAACUCUCAACUAUUUUGCCACUGCGGGCUUCUUUAAUCACAUGGAAAUCCAGCAUGAAAGUGCGUUAGGGGCGAUGAGACCAUCAUCACUACUGGAAAAACACGCAAAGAGCUGUGAUAACGUGAGGGUGUCUUGUCAACCUUGUCUCCUGCAUCAGCUGAACUCAGAGAUGCUAGCUAGCAUCUUGGAUCCUGACAGACGGGUGUGUUGUUCCUGAACUACCACGGAGGUGGCACUGGGCUGAAGACUGCUCUGCUCCCAUGCAGGCAGACCUGAGCUGUGUGAAGCCAGCAGAAAUGCCUUGAGUUGGACCCCACAAUGGUGUCAGUUAUGCCAGUGGCUCUCAAACUUCAGCCUGUGUUGGAGUUGCAUGGGGGCCUUUUAAAACACAGAGUGCUGGCUCCCAACUCCGGAGUUGCUGAUUCAGUAGGUCUGGGUGAGGCUCAAGGAUUUGCAUUUCUAGCAAGUCCCCAGGUGAUAUGGAUGCUACUGUUCAGGAGAACACACUUUGAGAACGACAGGUCUCCAGAAUCCCAUGGCAAACUCAUGAAACUUUAUUUUUUCUUUCCUCUCUAUUUCUUCUUUCUGUAAAGGAACUUUGGAUUUGAGAGAAGAGUUAAUGGAAGUCAAAAGGUAGAAACAACUCAGUUGUCCAACAACUGACAAAUGAAUAAAUAAAUUAUGGUAUAUCCAUACAUUGGAAUAUUAUUUGGCCAUGAAAAAGAAUGAAGUCCUAAUAUACCUGCAACAUGAAUGAAUCUUGAAAACAUUAUGCUAAAUGAAAGAAGCCAGUCACAAAAGGCAUGCACUGUAUGAUUCCAUUUAUUUGAUGUGUCCAGGAAAAGGCAAAUUCAUAGAUGUAGAAAGCAGAUUAAUGGUUGCCAGGAACUGGGAGCAAGGGAGGAAUGGGGACUGACUGCUUAGUAGGUUUCCCUUUGGGAUGAUAAAAGAGUUCUGGAACUUUUAAACUAAGUAAUACUUAGUAAUACUGAAUUGUAUACUUUAAAAUGGUUUUAAAAUGGUCAAUUUUGUGUUGUGUAUAUUUUACUACAAUAAAAAAUUGUGAAAGUUGAGUGUUGUUCUAACCUAAAUUGCAGGACCAGUUGAAAAGGUUUUUGUGAAAGUUUUAGUGCUGUGGGAUCUUGUACUACAAAAUCAAAUUUCUCCCUCCAUAUGAGGGUAGGUUGAAAGAUAACUUCAUAACCCAGGGAGGGACAUGUUUAGAUCAGGAGUUAAUGAUAAUGGGUAAGCCUGGUAAAAAUCUCUUUUGCACUCAUUCUCAGACUUUCUUUCAUGUACCAAACUUUAUGAUAUAAAUAUACUCUAAGAUAAAAACAGAUAAAAUUCAGCCAUAAUUUCUAAUAAUAAAAUUAUUUGGAUUUUUC
Cynocephalus volans (Philippine flying lemur) is the source of this 1812-nucleotide long non-coding RNA. RefSeq lists it as uncharacterized. The transcript is spliced from 3 exons. The record is from RefSeq and is a predicted model, not a curated record. NCBI's taxonomy places the organism in Eukaryota, Metazoa, Chordata, Mammalia, Dermoptera, Cynocephalidae.